ACUCCUACGGGAGGCAGCAGUGGGGAAUAUUGGACAAUGGGGGCAACCCUGAUCCAGCAAUGCCGCGUGUGUGAAGAAGGCCUGCGGGUUGUAAAGCACUUUCGUUGGGGAAGAGCGUAUGUUUUGAAUAGGAGACAUACAAGACGUUACCCAAAGAAGAAGCACCGGCUAACUCUGUGCCAGCAGCCGCGGUAAUACAGAGGGUGCGAGCGUUAAUCGGAAUUACUGGGCGUAAAGGGCACGUAGGUGGAUAUAUAAGUUAGAUGUGAAAUCCAAGGGCUCAACCUUUGGUUGCCAUCUAAAACGGUAUAUCUAGAGUACAGUAGAGGGAAGUGGAAUUUCCGGUGUAGCGGUGAAAUGCGUAGAUAUCGGAAGGAACACCAGUGGCGAAGGCGACUUUCUGGACUGUGACUGACACUGAGGUGCGAAAGCGUGGGAUA
This 440-nucleotide ribosomal RNA is filed under the name uncultured bacterium. RNAcentral's name for it is "bacterial SSU rRNA". It matches the Rfam family "Bacterial small subunit ribosomal RNA", at positions 335 to 768 of the family's 1533-position model. The record is from RNAcentral.